This 564-nucleotide ribosomal RNA is filed under the name uncultured bacterium. Its description in RNAcentral is "bacterial SSU rRNA". It matches the Rfam family "Bacterial small subunit ribosomal RNA", at positions 337 to 916 of the family's 1533-position model. The record is from RNAcentral.
UCCUACGGGAGGCAGCAGGGGGAAUUUUCCGCAAUGGGCGAAAGCCUGACGGAGCAACGCCGCGUGAGGGAUGAAGGCCUCUGGGCUGUAAACCUCUUUUAUCAAGGAAGAAGAUCUGACGGUACUUGAUGAAUAAGCCACGGCUAAUUCCGUGCCAGCAGCCGCGGUAAUACGGGAGUGGCAAGCGUUAUCCGGAAUUAUUGGGCGUAAAGCGUCCGCAGGCGGCCCUACAAGUCUGCUGUUAAAAAGUGGAGCUUAACUCCAUCAUGGCAGUGGAAACUGUUGGGCUCGAGUGUGGUAGGGGCAGAGGGAAUUCCCGGUGUAGCGGUGAAAUGCGUAGAUAUCGGGAAGAACACCAGUGGCGAAGGCGCUCUGCUGGGCCAUCACUGACGCUCAUGGACGAAAGCCAGGGGAGCGAAAGGGAUUAGAUACCCCUGUAGUCCUGGCCGUAAACGAUGAACACUAGGUGUCGGGGGAAUCGACCCCUCCGGUGUCGUAGCCAACGCGUUAAGUGUUCCGCCUGGGGAGUACGCACGCAAGUGUGAAACUCAAAGGAAUUGACGG